Molecule: ribosomal RNA, 1122 nt
Filed under: Ferdinandcohnia humi
Lineage: Bacteria; Bacillati; Bacillota; Bacilli; Caryophanales; Bacillaceae
Description: bacterial SSU rRNA
Rfam family: Bacterial small subunit ribosomal RNA
Source: RNAcentral
AGCAUGGCGGCGUGCUAUACAUGCAGUCGAGCGAACUUUUGGGAGCUUGCUCCCAAAAGUUAGCGGCGGACGGGUGAGUAACACGUGGGCAACCUGCCUAUAAGACUGGGAUAACUUCGGGAAACCGGAGCUAAUACCGGAUAACAUAUGAGACCACAUGGUCUCAUAUUAAAAGAUGGCUUUUAGCUAUCACUUAUAGAUGGGCCCGCGGCGCAUUAGCUAGUUGGUGAGGUAAUGGCUCACCAAGGCGACGAUGCGUAGCCGACCUGAGAGGGUGAUCGGCCACACUGGGACUGAGACACGGCCCAGACUCCUACGGGAGGCAGCAGUAGGGAAUCUUCCGCAAUGGACGAAAGUCUGACGGAGCAACGCCGCGUGAGCGAAGAAGGUCUUCGGAUCGUAAAGCUCUGUUGUUAGGGAAGAACAAGUACCGUUCGAAUAGGGCGGUACCUUGACGGUACCUAACCAGAAAGCCACGGCUAACUACGUGCCAGCAGCCGCGGUAAUACGUAGGUGGCAAGCGUUAUCCGGAAUUAUUGGGCGUAAAGCGCGCGCAGGCGGUCCUUUAAGUCUGAUGUGAAAGCCCACGGCUCAACCGUGGAGGGUCAUUGGAAACUGGGGGACUUGAGUGCAGAAGAGGAGAGCGGAAUUCCACGUGUAGCGGUGAAAUGCGUAGAGAUGUGGAGGAACACCAGUGGCGAAGGCGGCUCUCUGGUCUGUAACUGACGCUGAGGCGCGAAAGCGUGGGGAGCGAACAGGAUUAGAUACCCUGGUAGUCCACGCCGUAAACGAUGAGUGCUAAGUGUUAGAGGGUUUCCGCCCUUUAGUGCUGCAGCAAACGCAUUAAGCACUCCGCCUGGGGAGUACGGUCGCAAGACUGAAACUCAAAGGAAUUUGACGGGGGCCCGCACAAGCGGUGGAGCAUGUGGUUUAAUUCGGAAGCAACGCGAAGAACCUUACCAAGUCUUGACAUCCUGUAUGUACCACUUCCUAAGAAGAUAGGAGCUUUCCCCUUCGGGGAACAUCAGUGACAGUGAUGCAUGAAUUGUCGUCAGCUCGUGUCGUGAGAUGUUGGGUUUAAGUUCCCGCAACGAGCCGCAACCCUUUGAUUCUUUAGUUGGC